Molecule: long non-coding RNA, 150 nt
Organism: Theobroma umbraticum
Lineage: Eukaryota; Viridiplantae; Streptophyta; Magnoliopsida; Malvales; Malvaceae
Source: RefSeq, a predicted model, not a curated record
CUGCUCUCCACUUUCUCUCCCCUCCAGAUCUAAUCUCAAAUUUUUUAGCUUGUGAUCCUGUUUCCAUUUUUCAUGCAAGUCGAGAGGCGUUUGGUUUUGGAUAUAGCUCCGCAUCACCAUUGUCUGAGUUUUUGUCUCCUAGGGACUUAA